Camelus dromedarius (Arabian camel) is the source of this 65-nucleotide small nucleolar RNA. RefSeq annotates it as small nucleolar RNA SNORD42. The record is from RefSeq and is a predicted model, not a curated record. The transcript has a single exon. NCBI's taxonomy places the organism in Eukaryota, Metazoa, Chordata, Mammalia, Artiodactyla, Camelidae.
GCACAAAUGAUGGAAAAAUCACUAUUUGGAAAAAAAUGACAUGAACAAAGGAACCACUGAUGCGC